UACAGAGGGGGCAAGCGUUAUUCGGAAUUAUUGGGCGUAAAGGGCGCGUAGGCGGCCUGGCAAGUGGAAGGUGAAAUCCCUCGGCUUAACCGAGGAACUGCCCUCCAAACUGCUUGGCUUGAGUCCGGGAGAGGUGAGUGGAAUUCCCAGUGUAGCGGUGAAAUGUGUAGAUAUUGGGAGGAACACCAGUGGCGAAGGCGGCUCACUGGACCGGAACUGACGCUGAGGCGCGAAAGCGUGGGGAGCAAACAGG
RNAcentral lists this ribosomal RNA (253 nucleotides) under uncultured bacterium. RNAcentral describes it as "partial 16S ribosomal RNA". It matches the Rfam family "Bacterial small subunit ribosomal RNA", at positions 524 to 776 of the family's 1533-position model. The record is from RNAcentral.